RNAcentral lists this ribosomal RNA (497 nucleotides) under uncultured bacterium. RNAcentral's name for it is "partial 16S ribosomal RNA". It matches the Rfam family "Bacterial small subunit ribosomal RNA", at positions 28 to 507 of the family's 1533-position model. The record is from RNAcentral.
GAUGAACGCUGGCGGCGUGCCUAAUACAUGCAAGUCGAGCGAACGGACGAGAAGCUUUCUUCUCUGCUGUUAGCGGCGGACGGGUGAGUAACACGUGGAUAACCUACCUAUAAGACUGGGAUAACUUCGGGAAACCGCAUCUACUACCGGAUAAUAUUUUGAACCGCAUGGUUCAAAAGUGAAAGACGCUCUUCCCGUCACUUAUAGAUGGAUCCGCGCUGCAUUAGCUAGUUGGUAAGGUAACGGCAUACCAAGGCAACGAUGCAUAGCCGACCUGAGAGGGUGAUCGGCCACACUGGAACUGAGACACGGUCCAGACUCCUACGGGAGGCAGCAGUAGGGAAUCUUCCGCAAUGGGCGAAAGCCUGACGGAGCAACGCCGCGUGAGUGAUGAAGGUCUUCGGAUCGUAAAACUCUGUUAUUAGGGAAGAACAUAUGUGUAAGUAACUGUGCACAUCUUGACGGUACCUAAUCAGAAAGCCACGGCUAACUACGUG